This 39-nucleotide unclassified non-coding RNA is filed under the name Trypanosoma rangeli. RNAcentral describes it as "trans-spliced leader sequence". The record is from RNAcentral. Lineage: Eukaryota; Euglenozoa; Kinetoplastea; Trypanosomatida; Trypanosomatidae.
GUGGACCCGUCCCCAUCCUAUUGUGAUCCCCAUCUUUGC